UACGUAGGAUCCGAGCGUUGUCCGGAUUUACUGGGUGUAGAGGGUGCGCAGGCGGACUGGUAAGUCAGUGGUGAAAUCUCGUCGCUUAACGACGAAACUGCCUUUGAUACUAUCAGUCUUGAGUCCGGUAGAGAUCUGUGGAAUUCCGAGUGUAGCAGUGAAAUGUGUAGAUAUUCGGAAGAACACCAGUGGCGAAGGCAGCAGACUGGGCCGGUACUGACGCUCAUGCACGAAAGCGUGGGCAUCAAACAGG
This 253-nucleotide ribosomal RNA is filed under the name uncultured bacterium. RNAcentral's name for it is "partial 16S ribosomal RNA". It matches the Rfam family "Bacterial small subunit ribosomal RNA", at positions 524 to 776 of the family's 1533-position model. The record is from RNAcentral.